Long non-coding RNA from Ictalurus punctatus (channel catfish), 1050 nucleotides. RefSeq lists it as uncharacterized. Lineage: Eukaryota; Metazoa; Chordata; Actinopteri; Siluriformes; Ictaluridae. The record is from RefSeq and is a predicted model, not a curated record. The transcript has 3 exons.
ACACACACACACACACACACACACACAUGCUAUCUCUUCAAGAAUGAAAAAAAAAAAGAUCUAGUUCCUGACUUGAGGCAAAUGUUUGUUGGAAUAAGUGGUGAUUUCCUGGUCGUGCAUUAAAGGGAGAUGAGACUUCUUUUAACCGGAGUGUUAAUCCAGCAGCGGAUGAGACGCAGCACGGAGCACGCAGAAGUAAAAAACAGGAAGAGUGACGGAGUGUAUAGGUGCGAGCAGUGACAUUAGGAAUGUCUCCUCUGGUUUUAAUGCACCGUUGCCCGUCGGUGGAGGAUGCAGGCUAAAGCUCGGCACACAUGAAGCCCAUUUACCGUCAUCCUCGCAUCUGUUCUCACUAAUCCCCUCCAGACGUAACAAUAUGUUCUCCAAUAAGAUUAUGAUUGCUCAAUAAGCCUUAUCUAUGUAAUUCAGAAAACAUAUACCGCUUUAAACCAGCUCGCUAGAUUAGAGCAGUUUGGAGCUAAUCUGGAGUCAGUCUGGAGUCAAUCUGUGCUGCUGGGGGGGGAGGAGGGGGGAGGGGGAAUUAUUUUAAUCUGGGUGGAAAUAAUCCUGUGAUUCCCCCUCAGUCUGUUUUGUUUUAUUCCGAGCCCGAGUGUGUGAGUUGAUUUAACGUCAUACUAAUCCUCCAGUCGCUGUCUGGCUGAGGCUCGAGACACCCCGGGAGUUUGAAGCGUGUGUAAUUUACACGCACGCUGUUAUUAAUGAAAUCAGCACUUGAAUUGAUUAGACAAGCAGAUUAUGAUGAUGUGAGCGUGAGCAGAUUACUGUAUUGACUGCGUCUUGUUUAAUAAAGGUGUAAUCACAGCGUAAUUAAGCGCACUAUUUACAGCUUAUUAUAAGAGUUAGGUACAUCCGAGGUUUAAUAGAUAAUUGAACACUGGUGUGGUUUUUUUUUUUAUUCAUUUGGAUGUGGAUGAACGAAGCUGGUUUGAUGUUUAUUGAAAACAUGUCUAAAGCUCCAAGGAUAAAUUUUGCCAAUAAAAUGCCAAUGCUAAUAAAAUGUGACGGAAAAUAAACAAACUAUGAACGAUA